AGAUGCAGCCACAAGCAGUUGGUGGGAAACUAGGCCUCAAAGCAGAAAAUGAAAAGUCGAUGGGGGAAGAUUUUUUUUUUUAAAUAAGUGGGUCAGAGGGACGGAGCGGAGAUGAGGCGAUCAAUCUUAGCCCCCUGACAGCUCCCUCCGAUUGCAUCAAAGAAUUUGGCUCUUUGGGAAGCAGCAGAAGGAGCAGCCGAAAUUCCACAUCCCCUAAAAAGGCCUGAGGGAAAGGUGAUUCGGAGAGAGCCAGGAAACAGAUGGGAAAUGGGGACCCAGGGAAGGCGCUGAGUUGGGUGGAAAGUUUGCCCGGAGAACUCCCACGGCCGGGCCUCCCCUCCCCCUCUCCGGCUCCCUGUCGCCCAGCCCGGAGGAAAAGGCUGCUUAGCGGAGAAAUGACAUCUCAGCCCGGAGCUGGAGGAGCUAGAAACUUUCUGUCAGUGUAACAUCCGCGUGGGUGGUGCGAAUUAGCUCCAUAUUUCAGCCACUCUGUCGCCUGGCUCUUAUCGGCUCCAGCGACACGGUGGUGACAUUCAUCUCUGACAGACCCGCUCUAUCCUCGCUCCAAUGCGAUGAAACUUUUAUGGAACUGAGAACCCAAUGGUGGUUGGGCUUCAGGUCACGUGAUGACUCCUUUGUCGCUCCGGAAGCGACCUGUGAAGUUUAGGUGCCUUAGAAGAAGCAGCCAUCAGCCAGGGGAAAGAGGGGGAAAUACCAGGAGUUGGGGGAAUAACCCAGAGAGAUGGAAGAGCUCCACAGCCGCCCCCCUGCUCACCCCUGCCCCUGGCAGCCCCGUCCCAUCACAGGUGUGUUAACUUGGGCGCUUCUUGGAUUCUACCCUGAGGAGCAGGCGCGUGGUGAGAGGAGAGGUCUGUGUAGGUGGGGUGCGGGUCGCAGGGUCCGUGGUGCUGGCUGGGGGCCAUCGGGGGUGCCCCGUUGUAGUCCAGGUUCCCCGGGGGGUGGUGGGAGAGGUGGUUGAGGCCGUAGAGGGAGGGCCCGGCAGGGGGCGGCAGCGGCUCCCCGUAGCCGCCCCCGCCCACGUACACCGGGCUGCCCUGCAAGGCGGGCGUGGCGUAGGCGCCCCCGUUGGCCUGCAGCACGUGGGGCUCGUACUCGGGCGCCGGGGUCGGGGCGUACUUCUGCGGGGCGCCGCAGCCCUUGAGCGGCGGCUGGUAGUUGGAGGGCAGCGCGUAGGCAUUCUGGUGGGCUUUGCCGAAGGCGGGCGGGGACGGGCUGUCGUAGCUGGGGGUCAUGGAGUGCAAGGCGUUCAUGAAGCCGGCUGUGGACUGCAUGGGCUGCGGGGGGCUGCCGGCCGGAGAGGGACCCCCGGACGACGAGGCCAGCCCUUUGGCCUUCUGGUCCUUCUUGUACUUCAUGCGCCGGUUCUGGAACCAGAUCUUGAUCUGGCGCUCGCUGAGGUUCAGCAGGUUGGCCAUCUCCACGCGGCGCGGCCGGCACAGGUAGCGGUUGAAGUGGAACUCCUUCUCCAGCUCCACCAGCUGCGCGCUCGUGUACGCCGUGCGCGCGCGCUUGGACGCCGCCGAGCCCGGGGGGCUGCGGUCCCCGCCCCCGCCCCCACCGCCGCUGCUCCCUCCGCCGCCGCCGCCUACGCCUCCUCCGCCGCCGCCGCCGCCGCAGCCCUCUGCUGGAUCCGAGGGGGGAGGGGUGGGAAGGGGAGAAAAUGAAAUAAAAGAUAAUUACUGAACACGCCGAAAU
Molecule: long non-coding RNA, 1716 nt
Organism: Cavia porcellus (domestic guinea pig)
Lineage: Eukaryota; Metazoa; Chordata; Mammalia; Rodentia; Caviidae
Exons: 5
Source: RefSeq, a predicted model, not a curated record